RNAcentral lists this unclassified non-coding RNA (372 nucleotides) under Pectinophora gossypiella (pink bollworm). RNAcentral describes it as "uncharacterized LOC126373593". Lineage: Eukaryota; Metazoa; Arthropoda; Insecta; Lepidoptera; Gelechiidae. The record is from RNAcentral.
CGUUCUGCUGGAUUACCAGCUGUCGCGACUUUUGAGAGCUCCGUAGCUCAGGAUUACAGUGCGCGAUUAUUAUUUUGACAAAAUAUGUAAAUUUGCUCUUUAAUCAGCUAUUCGAACCUUCCGUGGUGUAGCUGAUCGUCUACCGCGCUAGAAUAGGGAUUAGAAUUAGUUUCCGUGCGUAGAUUACGUGAAAUAUGUAGGUUUUGUCCGACAAAAGUCCGCGGAGUGCGCUGUAGGGACCUUGUUAGGUUUUAAAAUAGGAAGUGUGGUGUACUAAUUACCUUUUUCUUACAGGCAUCGUUGGAAACAGGUCUGAGAUCAUCAGAUCUCAGACGACAGGUGCUGUUGUUCCCGGAGGAGGGCUGGGCCCGC